This 497-nucleotide ribosomal RNA is filed under the name uncultured bacterium. Its description in RNAcentral is "partial 16S ribosomal RNA". It matches the Rfam family "Bacterial small subunit ribosomal RNA", at positions 899 to 1397 of the family's 1533-position model. The record is from RNAcentral.
ACUCAAAUGAAUAGACGGGGACCCGCACAAGCGGUGGAGCAUGUGGUUUAAUUCGAAGCAACGCGAAGAACCUUACCAGGUCUUGACAUCUCCUGACCUCCCUAGAGAUAGGGCCUUCCCUUCGGGGACAGGAUGACAGGUGGUGCAUGGUUGUCGUCAGCUCGUGUCGUGAGAUGUUGGGUUAAGUCCCGCAACGAGCGCAACCCUUGUCCUUAGUUGCCAGCAUUCGGUUGGGCACUCUAAGGAGACUGCCGGCUAAAAGUCGGAGGAAGGUGGGGAUGACGUCAAAUCAUCAUGCCCCUUAUGACCUGGGCUACACACGUGCUACAAUGGAUGGUACAAAGGGAAGCGAAGCCGCGAGGUGAAGCCAAUCCCAUAAAGCCAUUCUCAGUUCGGAUUGCAGGCUGCAACUCGCCUGCAUGAAGCCGGAAUCGCUAGUAAUCGUAGAUCAGCAUGCUACGGUGAAUACGUUCCCGGGUCUUGUACACACCGCCCGU